UAAACCAUGCAAACCUUGUUGCUAUAAGUUUGAGCAGUUCAUGCAACUUUAGCGAUGAAAAUUUCAUUAUGUACCUAUGAAGUAGGAUUCCUAUAGAGAAGUGGAGAUUGAUGCAUUCUCUAGUAGCUAGAUUUGUAAUUGUAAGUCAUAUCUGCAACUACUCUAUCAAAAGAGAGAUUGUUAUGUUCACAUCCAUUGCUUGCUCAAUAUAAUAUU
RNAcentral lists this unclassified non-coding RNA (216 nucleotides) under Hevea brasiliensis (rubber tree). Lineage: Eukaryota; Viridiplantae; Streptophyta; Magnoliopsida; Malpighiales; Euphorbiaceae. The record is from RNAcentral.